RNAcentral lists this ribosomal RNA (486 nucleotides) under uncultured bacterium. RNAcentral's name for it is "partial 16S ribosomal RNA". It matches the Rfam family "Bacterial small subunit ribosomal RNA", at positions 30 to 507 of the family's 1533-position model. The record is from RNAcentral.
AUUGAACGCUGGCGGCAUGCCUUACACAUGCAAGUCGAACGGCAGCACGGGUGCUUGCACCUGGUGGCGAGUGGCGAACGGGUGAGUAAUACAUCGGAACAUGUCCUGUAGUGGGGGAUAGCCCGGCGAAAGCCGGAUUAAUACCGCAUACGAUCUACGGAUGAAAGCGGGGGACCUUCGGGCCUCGCGCUAUAGGGUUGGCCGAUGGCUGAUUAGCUAGUUGGUGGGGUAAAGGCCUACCAAGGCGACGAUCAGUAGCUGGUCUGAGAGGACGACCAGCCACACUGGGACUGAGACACGGCCCAGACUCCUACGGGAGGCAGCAGUGGGGAAUUUUGGACAAUGGGCGAAAGCCUGAUCCAGCAAUGCCGCGUGUGUGAGGAAGGCCUUCGGGUUGUAAAGCACUUUUGUCCGGAAAGAAAUCCUUGGCCCUAAUACGGUCGGGGGAUGACGGUACCGGAAGAAUAAGCACCGGCUAACUACGUG